CGCUGGCGGCGUGCCUAAUACAUGCAAGUCGAGCGCAGGAAACUUUAGUAGAUCCCUUCGGGGUGACGCUAAGUGGAAUGAGCGGCGGACGGGUGAGUAACACGUGGGCAACCUACCUAUAAGACUGGGAUAACUCGUGGAAACAGGAGCUAAUACCGGAUAACCAGUGCGUUCGCAUGAACGCACCUUAAAAGGCGGCAUUUGCUGUCACUUAUAGAUGGGCCCGCGGCGCAUUAGCUAGUUGGUAAGGUAACGGCUUACCAAGGCGACGAUGCGUAGCCGACCUGAGAGGGUGAUCGGCCACACUGGGACUGAGACACGGCCCAGACUCCUACGGGAGGCAGCAGUAGGGAAUCUUCCGCAAUGGACGAAAGUCCGACGGAGCAACGCCGCGUGAGCGAUGAAGGCCUUCGGGUCGUAAAGCUCUGUUGUUAGGGAAGAACAAGUGCUAUUCGAAUAGGGUGGGACCUUGACGGUACCUAACGAGAAAGCCACGGCUAACUACGUGCCAGCAGCCGCGGUAAUACGUAGGUGGCAAGCGUUGUCCGGAAUUAUUGGGCGUAAAGCGCGCGCAGGCGGUCUCUUAAGUCUGAUGUGAAAGCCCACGGCUCACCGUGGAGGGUCAUUGGAAACUGGGA
RNAcentral lists this ribosomal RNA (638 nucleotides) under uncultured bacterium. RNAcentral's name for it is "bacterial SSU rRNA". It matches the Rfam family "Bacterial small subunit ribosomal RNA", at positions 34 to 638 of the family's 1533-position model. The record is from RNAcentral.